Molecule: non-coding RNA, 877 nt
Filed under: Drosophila simulans
Lineage: Eukaryota; Metazoa; Arthropoda; Insecta; Diptera; Drosophilidae
Description: Eukaryotic large subunit ribosomal RNA
Rfam family: Eukaryotic large subunit ribosomal RNA
Source: Rfam by way of RNAcentral
CAACCUCAACUCAUAUGGGACUACCCCCUGAAUUUAAGCAUAUUAAUUAGGGGAGGAAAAGAAACUAACAAGGAUUUUCUUAGUAGCGGCGAGCGAAAAGAAAACAGUUCAGCACUAAGUCACUUUGUCUAUAUGGCAAAUGUGAGAUGCAGUGUAUGGAGCGUCAAUAUUCUAGUAUGAGAAAUUAAUGAUUUAAGUCCUUCUUAAAUGAGGCCAUUUACCCAUAGAGGGUGCCAGGCCCGUAUAACGUUAAUGAUUACUAGAUGAUGUUUCCAAAGAGUCGUGUUGCUUGAUAGUGCAGCACUAAGUGGGUGGUAAACUCCAUCUAAAACUAAAUAUAACCAUGAGACCGAUAGUAAACAAGUACCGUGAGGGAAAGUUGAAAAGAACUCUGAAUAGAGAGUUAAACAGUACGUGAAACUGCUUAGAGGUUAAGCCCGAUGAACCUGAAUAUCCGUUAUGGAAAAUUCAUCAUUAAAAUUGUAAUAUUUAAAUAAUAUUAUUAAGAAUAAUGUGCAUUUUUUCCAUAUAAGGACAUUGUAAUCUAUUAGCAUAUCCCAAAUUUAUCAUAAAAUAUAACUUAUAGUUUAUUCCAAUUAAAUUGCUUGCAUUUUAACACAGAAUAAAUGUUAUUAAUUUGAUAAAGUGCUGAUAGAUUUAUAUUAUUACAGAGCGUUAAUUUUUCGGAAUUAUAUAAUGGCAUAAUUAUCAUUGAUUUUGUGUUAUAUAUGCUCUUGUAUGAUUACAAUGCGAAAGAUCAGGAUACUUCGGACCCGUCUGAACACGGACAGAGUCUACUAUGUGCAGUAUGGAUGUAACCUAUAGCGUAUACUGACUAUAUGGGAUAGUUUUAGCUAUUAUAGCUAUAACAAUCCGG